RNAcentral lists this ribosomal RNA (451 nucleotides) under uncultured bacterium. RNAcentral's name for it is "bacterial SSU rRNA". It matches the Rfam family "Bacterial small subunit ribosomal RNA", at positions 28 to 478 of the family's 1533-position model. The record is from RNAcentral.
GAUGAACGCUAGCGGCAGGCUUAACACAUGCAAGUCGAGGGGUAGAAGGAGCUUGCUCCUUUGAGACCGGCGCACGGGUGCGUAACGCGUAUGCAAUCUACCUUUUGCAGAGGGAUAGCCCAGAGAAAUUUGGAUUAAUACCUCAUAGUAUGUGAGGAUGGCAUCAUUUUCACAUUAAAGUCACAACGGCAAAAGAUGAGCAUGCGUCCCAUUAGCUAGUUGGUAAGGUAACGGCUUACCAAGGCUACGAUGGGUAGGGGUCCUGAGAGGGAGAUCCCCCACACUGGUACUGAGACACGGACCAGACUCCUACGGGAGGCAGCAGUGAGGAAUAUUGGACAAUGGGCGCAAGCCUGAUCCAGCCAUGCCGCGUGCAGGAUGACGGUCCUAUGGAUUGUAAACUGCUUUUGUACAGGAAGAAACACUACUUCGUGAAGUAGCUUGACGGUAC